UCUGGCUCUUGAAAGUUCUCUUGACUGGGUGCGGUGGCUCAAGCCUGUAAUCCCAGCACUUUGGGAGGCCGAGGUGGGUGGAUCACGAGGUCAAGAGAUCGAGACCAUCCUGGUCAACGAGCAUGGAAGAAGGAACUAACAAAUGAUGUCCUUGUAGAAGAGUAAUGUCUCCUGACAAUGUUCUCUUUAGUCCAUGAUGUGGGAUAAGAGGAGGUUUUACUGAUUAUGAGGCAACAGACAUAAGGAGGAAAAACAUUUUCAAAGAUAAGAAUACCAUGAUAAUAGAAGUCUUGAUUUGUGAUCUUGGGAAAAGCUGUUCACAUGAAGAAUGUCAUCUUCUUCUGGAGAGAAACUUUCUCAUGUGGAUGGCAAGGUCAGUCUUUCACUGAUGUUCUCAGAAUAUCCAGUCUUCAGGUUCUAGAUUGUGAAGAGGUUGAUUGCCCUCAGUGAACCACGAAAAAGCUUUCUUUACUUGGUGAAAAUAUACUGUGG
Long non-coding RNA from Callithrix jacchus (white-tufted-ear marmoset), 492 nucleotides. The record is from Ensembl. NCBI's taxonomy places the organism in Eukaryota, Metazoa, Chordata, Mammalia, Primates, Cebidae.